AACUGCCCACCAAUGUGGCAGAAGCAGCAGUGCUCCCCAGGGUCUUCCCAGCUUGUCUGGAGCCAUGAAUGCUUGGCAAAGGUGCUGGAGACAAGGCUGAAAGGGCACAGAGGCUGAGGGCAGCGUGCGGGAUGUGCUGUGCAGUGCUGUGCUGCAGGAGCGGGCGCAGAGGGAUUCCCCACCCCUGUACCAGAGUCAGCAGCAGAGAUUACAGGUGUCCAAGAGCAGAAGCUGAGGUGAAGCUCUGCUGUUUCAGGGCCAUCUCACAAAGAAACGUGAGCUGCCUGGCUAAAGUGCAAGUUUUCGGCAGAGUGGUCUGGGAUUUAUUUAUUGGAUGGCUUGCAGCUAUUUAACCAGGGCACAAACGAGCUCAGGUGUCGGUGAGCUCCAAGAAACCACUACUUAAAGCAUCACGUGUCCUUCUGCUUGGUAGGGUAUCAUCACUGCAAGAGUGGAAUGUUCUGCACGGGGCAGAGUGUGGGAUCCAAGGAUCCCAGUGACAUCAAGGACAUUUCGCCGUGAUAAUACUGCCCAUAGUGCCUUCAACAAAUGCAGCCUUAAACUUUGUAUUUGGCUCAUUCAAAUGGAAAAGAUUGUCAUGUUUCAUAUUAUCAAGGAGGAGAUCCAAAAUUGUUGUCAGUCAAUGAGGGUGUAUAGGAAAUGUUGAGUCCCAGCCUGAAGCACUGAUGGAGCACCUGGGGAAAAGGACCUGGUCAGCCCUGGGAGCACAGGUGAAGGCAGUUCAGCUGUGUGAUAAGAAGGGCUGGAGCCUGCCUGUGCCUCUCUUAGACCUCAUUGAAGGGUUGACUGCCACUGGGGGAGGAUUUCUCGUUGGAGAUCUCUCUCUUAUGGAGUCUUCCUUGCAGCUUGGAUCUUUAGAGAUUGGUGAGUACCUUUACUUUUCUUUAGAAAUGCCAUCCUAUCCCUGCAGGGUCCUUUGCUGUUUUGCUU
This 951-nucleotide long non-coding RNA is filed under the name Coturnix japonica (Japanese quail). RNAcentral describes it as "lncRNA (ENSCJPG00005014829.1)". The record is from RNAcentral. Lineage: Eukaryota; Metazoa; Chordata; Aves; Galliformes; Phasianidae.